CCGAGUUCAUGCCCUUACGGGUAGAUCUCCCACCCUAUGUUAUUAUUACCUUUGUUGCUUUGGCGGGCCGUCAGAUCUCGGUCAGGCUACCGGCUCCGGCUGGUAAGCGCCCGCCAGAGGCCCGACAAAUUCUGAUUGUCAGUGUCGUCUGAGUACUAUAUAAUAGUUA
This 169-nucleotide unclassified non-coding RNA is filed under the name uncultured Helotiales. Its description in RNAcentral is "sequence contains ITS1". Lineage: Eukaryota; Fungi; Ascomycota; Leotiomycetes; Helotiales. The record is from RNAcentral.